This 254-nucleotide ribosomal RNA is filed under the name uncultured bacterium. RNAcentral describes it as "partial 16S ribosomal RNA". It matches the Rfam family "Bacterial small subunit ribosomal RNA", at positions 524 to 776 of the family's 1533-position model. The record is from RNAcentral.
UACGGGGGGAGCAAGCGUUGUUCGGAUUUACUGGGCGUAAAGGGCGCGUAGGCGGCCUCUGCAAGUCGACUGUGAAAUCUCCGGGCUUAACCCGGAAAGGUCAGCCGAUACUGCAGGGCUAGAGUGCAGAAGGGGCAACUGGAAUUCUCGGUGUAGCGGUGAAAUGCGUAGAUAUCGAGAGGAACACCUGCGGCGAAGGCGGGUUGCUGGGCUGACACUGACGCUGAGGCGCGAAAGCUAGGGGAGCAAACGGG